AAUUGCCCAUUUUUGCUAUGUUUACCUCUUAGAAUUGUAAGAUCACAAAAUGAAGAAGGAAAUACUAUACCAGCAAAUCCAAUUCACUGGUGCAGAAACUCAUAUGUGCCAUACCUAAAACUGGACAAAGAGUUGGUGACAGAACUCAGGUCUUCAAACUCAGCAAACUCAAUCACACAUGGAGGUUUGUGCUUGGUGCUUAUUGAGGAUGCCAGCAGCCACUUGAAAUUAAAGGUCAGACAUGAGGAGCCCCAGUUUCACAGAUGGGAACACUGCCUUGACUCUGCAAUGCUCUUCUUUGGAACAAAUUUGCUACAGCAAUGGAAGUGGAUAAGGUUUGCAGAGCACUCUAGCUCGGCUGCUGAAAUGAUCUGGUACUCAGUAAGAAAUCAGAAAUGUUAAGUCCUCACGGUACGACAGUGUAGUAGGACACCACACAUAGCUGGGUUAAGCAUGUACAAUGCUUAUUGCUAAUACUAGUACAAUCCAGUAGGCAUAUGGUUUGCAUGGUGUAGCUCUCAAAUCCAGAAAAGGUGUGCAUGCUUAGGCCUGCUUUGAAAUCAUCAUUCAAAUACUUUCUGAGGGACUGUGACAAUAAUAUGGUCAUUUUGAAAUGAAACUAUAGGUCAUACAAGUAGAAACCAGGGGAAAUAGGUGAGUGUGUGUGUGUAUAUAUAUAUAUAUAUAUAUAUAUGAGUGUGUGUAUGAGAAUCUACACAGUUGUAAAUCAUGACAAAAAGUGGGAUAGAAAUGGAUGAAGAAGGAAAAUGACCUGAAAAGGAAUGGGGACAAUACUCACUAACAUAACAGUGUGGGACCUUGCUGAGAAUGCAGUAAAGGCUGUGCUUUUCUAAGCACCCCCAGCAAUUCCAUUCUGAGUUUGCAAUUCUGGGUGCAGCUUUAGCCUCAGGGAAAAGGAUAGCACUGAAGCAAGGAAGUAAGCUAAAGCCUUUCAGAAACAUUAAAUUUGGCUAUUUUUCUGGAGUUGUUCUUUUUCCAAAUAAAACAAGUGGGAGGGAAGAAGAGAUGGGAUGA
Molecule: long non-coding RNA, 1035 nt
Filed under: Anser cygnoides (Swan goose)
Lineage: Eukaryota; Metazoa; Chordata; Aves; Anseriformes; Anatidae
Description: lncRNA (ENSACDG00005003599.1)
Source: RNAcentral